GACGAACGCUGGCGGCGUGCUUAACACAUGCAAGUCGAACGGUGAAGCGCCUUCCUUUUUGGUCGGUGUGGAUGAGUGGCCAACGGGUGAAUAACACGUGAGUCACCUGCCCCCUCCUUCUGGAUAACCGGAUGAAAGUGUGGCUAAUACGGGAUAUUCUGAGUCUGUCGCAUGAUGGGUCUGGGAAAGAUUUUGUUUCGGUGGUGGAUGGGCUCGCGGCGUAUUAGCUUGUUGGUGGGGUGAUGGCCUACCAAGGCGGCGAUGCGUGGCCGCCCUGAGAGGAUGGUGGACGGCCACGCAGGUGCUGCGAGACCGCCACUCCUCCGGCGGGCGGCAGUAGGGGGGAUUCCGCCACAAGCGGCGCAAUCCUGGUGCAGCGACGCCGCGGGAGUGAUGGACUCCGUCGCGUUGUGAACUUCUUUCGGCAGAGAAGCAGGCCUGCCGUGUCUGUGGGUGGGUUGACGGUAGCUGGACAAAAAGCGCCGGCUAACUACGUG
RNAcentral lists this ribosomal RNA (497 nucleotides) under uncultured bacterium. Its description in RNAcentral is "partial 16S ribosomal RNA". It matches the Rfam family "Bacterial small subunit ribosomal RNA", at positions 28 to 507 of the family's 1533-position model. The record is from RNAcentral.